UCCUGGUGGCUCAGAUGGUAAAGCAUCUGCCUACAAUGCAGGAGACUCGGGUUCAAUCCCUGGGUCAGGAA
This 71-nucleotide transfer RNA is filed under the name Capra hircus (goat). It matches the Rfam family "tRNA". From Rfam's summary of the family: Transfer RNA (tRNA) molecules are approximately 80 nucleotides in length. Their secondary structure includes four short double-helical elements and three loops (D, anti-codon, and T loops). Lineage: Eukaryota; Metazoa; Chordata; Mammalia; Artiodactyla; Bovidae. RNAcentral also lists the same sequence under 1 other name. The record is from Rfam by way of RNAcentral.